RNAcentral lists this ribosomal RNA (625 nucleotides) under Cystofilobasidium infirmominiatum. RNAcentral's name for it is "eukaryotic LSU rRNA". It matches the Rfam family "Eukaryotic large subunit ribosomal RNA", at positions 47 to 662 of the family's 3401-position model. The record is from RNAcentral. Lineage: Eukaryota; Fungi; Basidiomycota; Tremellomycetes; Cystofilobasidiales; Cystofilobasidiaceae.
UAAGUGGAGGAAAAGAAACUAACAAGGAUUCCCCUAGUAACGGCGAGUGAAGCGGGAAGAGCUCAAAUUUAAAAUCUGGCAGGCUACGCUUGUCCGAAUUGUAAUCUCGAGAAGUGUUUUCCGCGUUGGCCUGUGUACAAGUCCCUUGGAACAGGGCGUCAUAGAGGGUGAGAAUCCCGUCCUUGACACAGACACCCAAUGCUUUGUGAUACACUCUCAAUGAGUCGAGUUGUUUGGGAAUGCAGCUCAAAAUGGGUGGUAAAUUCCAUCUAAAGCUAAAUACUGGCGAGAGACCGAUAGCGAACAAGUACCGUGAGGGAAAGAUGAAAAGCACUUUGGAAAGAGAGUCAAACAGUACGUGAAAUUGUUGAAAGGGAAACGAUUGAAGUCAGUCGUGCCUGCCUAGAUUCAGCCUUCUGGUGUAUUUCUAGGUCGGCAGGUCAGCAUCAGUUUGGGGGGGUUAACAAGGGAGCUGGGAAUGUGGCAACCUUCGGUGUGUUAUAGCCCAGUUUCGCAUUGAUCUCGCUGGACUGAGGAACGCAGUGCGCCCGCAAGGGUUGGUCUUCGGACACAUUCGCACUUAGGAUGCUGGCAUAAUGGCUUUAAACGACCCGUCUUGAAACAC